This 103-nucleotide ribosomal RNA is filed under the name Monimopetalum chinense. Its description in RNAcentral is "4.5S ribosomal RNA". Lineage: Eukaryota; Viridiplantae; Streptophyta; Magnoliopsida; Celastrales; Celastraceae. The record is from RNAcentral.
CAAGGACGCAAGGUGCCCCUGCUUUUUCGGGGUAAGAAGGGGUAGAGAAAAUGCCUCGAGCCAAUGUUCGAGUACCAGGCGCUACGGCGCUGAAGUAACCCAU